GUUGCAUCGUUGUUGAUGACAUUCGUCCCAAGGUGAUGUGGUGUCAUGUUGCUUGUGUAUCUUAGUUUUAGCUUUCGAGCUUGAAACAUGUGGAUAAUCGRUUGGUGACAGACAUCACUCCCUUGGUUGAUGAAAGUCGUCCAAUGAUGUGGUGGUUUGUUUGUUUUGUUCUCSCAUCGUUCGGUSCAUUCUGUGGUCAUUCUGGCUGUUAGCGGCUUGCUUGGCAAUUGGGCUUGGUGGGUUGCUACUAGUUUGGGUGUCUUCGGGGAUGUUUUCCGUAAAGGUGCAUGAGUGGUGUUUGGUUUGUUACGGGUGGUUGGCUCUUUGCUUGCGCAACAACUUCCACCCGGCAUACCUCUUCAGUCUUGUGUCAAUGCUUGUAUUGCAUUGAAUGCAUGACGGGUUUCUUGUGUUGCAUGCCUAAUUAAUGGUAUCGUUUGAUGAAUUGGUUUCCUUUUUCGUCUUGCCUCGCCUACGCGAUGUGAGAUGAACCUUGAAGCAACCUUUGUGAUCCACACUUUUGAUGCAUACGCAUUUAUUUUGUGGCCCACUAAUUGUUGCUCGGUCUCAUGGAUAUGGAACCUGGUGUGGGCAUGGAAUCUUAAUGGUUCCUUGUUUGCCCAAGUUUAGCUUUUCUAAAMCGAUUGUCUAUCA
Molecule: unclassified non-coding RNA, 654 nt
Filed under: Helichrysum aureofolium
Lineage: Eukaryota; Viridiplantae; Streptophyta; Magnoliopsida; Asterales; Asteraceae
Description: partial external transcribed spacer
Source: RNAcentral